UUGACUUUGAAUAUAAUUUUCGGAUAUAAUCAUCACGUGGUUAACCUUUAUAUGAAUUAAUACCAACAUCUUUGAUUAUACACGUGAUAUGCAGCUAAUUUUUAUAUAAAUUAACACUGACAUAUUAAAACAAUGAGCCUUGUGGUCAGAGCUCAUGAUUGGUUGCCAAUAAAGGUUCUGGCAAGCCUUUCUUUUCAUUUGAGGCGAGUUUAUCAAUCCAUUUUUUCCUCUUCGCGCUUUAACUUUGUUGUAUAUAUUUGAUCACUCCGAUUUGUCAUAUUCACAUGUAGUCCUGCACUAUGAAGUUGCAACACCGUCGAUUUGGCGCCGAGACGACAUUGUUGGAUGGUGACAUCAAUUCGGCGAGACGGAGAAUUUAGAGCCACAUUAUUGUUGAAACAAAAUCAAACAUGAGUGAAACAAGUUAAAAAUAUAAAAAAUAUAUGAAUGAACCCAAUUAAAAUAGAAACACUAGCAUAACAUCAAAUAGUUUGUUAUCAGUUUUAUUCAAGGAGGUGACAUGCUUUUUAUGCAGGUUCUCUUAUUUAAUAUUUGAGAAGUAAACUUUUAUCUCAUAUGCUAAGAGCAAACAGUAUUGUAUAGUCAUACGGUACGGACUAUAUUCUCUUCGGUCCAAUAAUAAUCUUGCUUAAGGAUGAAGAAUAA
Molecule: long non-coding RNA, 666 nt
Filed under: Trifolium pratense (red clover)
Lineage: Eukaryota; Viridiplantae; Streptophyta; Magnoliopsida; Fabales; Fabaceae
Description: long non-coding RNA (TPRA_LNC005153)
Source: RNAcentral